CCUAACACAUGCAAGUCGAACGGUAACAGGAAACAGCUUGCUGUUUCGCUGACGAGUGGCGGACGGGUGAGUAAUGUCUGGGAAACUGCCUGAUGGAGGGGGAUAACUACUGGAAACGGUAGCUAAUACCGCAUAACGUCGCAAGACCAAAGAGGGGGACCCUCGGGCCUCUUGCCAUCGGAUGUGCCCAGAUGGGAUUAGCUUGUUGGUGGGGUAACGGCUCACCAAGGCGACGAUCCCUAGCUGGUCUGAGAGGAUGACCAGCCACACUGGAACUGAGACACGGUCCAGACUCCUACGGGAGGCAGCAGUGGGGAAUAUUGCACAAUGGGCGCAAGCCUGAUGCAGCCAUGCCGCGUGUAUGAAGAAGGCCUUCGGGUUGUAAAGUACUUUCAGCGGGGAGGAAGGGAGUAAAGUUAAUACCUUUGCUCAUUGACGUUACCCGCAGAAGAAGCACCGGCUAACUCCGUGC
Molecule: ribosomal RNA, 472 nt
Filed under: uncultured bacterium
Lineage: Bacteria
Description: bacterial SSU rRNA
Rfam family: Bacterial small subunit ribosomal RNA
Source: RNAcentral